Molecule: non-coding RNA, 111 nt
Organism: Trichonephila inaurata madagascariensis
Lineage: Eukaryota; Metazoa; Arthropoda; Arachnida; Araneae; Nephilidae
Source: the annotation of a GenBank genome assembly
AUGGCCAUGCCAUGCUGAAAACACCGGUUCUCGUCCGAUCACUGAAGUUAAGCAUCAUCGGGAGUGGUCAGUACUCGGGAGGGUGACUACCUGUGAAUAACGCGUGCCGUU